ACUCCUACGGGAGGCAGCAGUGGGGAAUAUUGGACAAUGGGCGAAAGCCUGAUCCAGCAAUGCCGCGUGGGUGAAGAAGGUCUUCGGAUCGUAAAGCCCUUUCGACGGGGACGAUGAUGACGGUACCCGUAGAAGAAGCCCCGGCUAACUUCGUGCCAGCAGCCGCGGUAAUACGAAGGGGCUAGCGUUGCUCGGAAUUACUGGGCGUAAAGGGCGCGUAGGCGGCGGCCCAAGUCAGGCGUGAAAUUCCUGGGCUCAACCUGGGGACUGCGCUUGAUACUGGGUUGCUUGAGGAUGGAAGAGGCUCGUGGAAUUCCCAGUGUAGAGGUGAAAUUCGUAGAUAUUGGGAAGAACACCGGUGGCGAAAGGCGGCGAGCUGGUCCAUUACUGACGCUGAGGCGCGACAGCGUGGGGAGC
This 417-nucleotide ribosomal RNA is filed under the name uncultured bacterium. RNAcentral's name for it is "bacterial SSU rRNA". It matches the Rfam family "Bacterial small subunit ribosomal RNA", at positions 335 to 769 of the family's 1533-position model. The record is from RNAcentral.